CCUACGGGUGGCAGCAGUGAAGAAUAUUGGUCAAUGGACGAGAGUCUGAACCAGCCAAGCCGCGUGCAGGAUGACUGUACUAUGGGUUGUAAACCUCUUUUAUCAAGGAAUAAAACGAGGCACGUGUGCCCUUAUGCAUGUACUUUAUGAACAAGGAUCGGCUAACUCCGUGCCAGCAGCCGCGGUAAUACGGAGGAUCCGAGCGUUAUCCGGAUUUAUUGGGUUUAAAGGGCGCGUAGGUGGGUUGUUAAGUCAGGUGUGAAAGUUUGCGGCUCAACCGCAGAAGUGCAUUUGAUACUGGCAGUCUAGAGUACAGUUGAGGUAGGCGGAAUUCGUGGUGUAGCGGUGAAAUGCUUAGAUAUCACGAAGAACCCCGAUUGCGAAGGCAGCUUACUAAACUGUGACUGACAUUGAUGCACGAAAGUGUGGGUAUCGAACAGGAUUAGAUACCCGGGUAGUC
Molecule: ribosomal RNA, 460 nt
Filed under: uncultured bacterium
Lineage: Bacteria
Description: partial 16S ribosomal RNA
Rfam family: Bacterial small subunit ribosomal RNA
Source: RNAcentral